RNAcentral lists this ribosomal RNA (459 nucleotides) under uncultured bacterium. RNAcentral's name for it is "bacterial SSU rRNA". It matches the Rfam family "Bacterial small subunit ribosomal RNA", at positions 339 to 796 of the family's 1533-position model. The record is from RNAcentral.
CUACGGGAGGCAGCAGUGAGGAAUAUUGGGCAAUGGGGGAAACCCUGAACCAGCCAUGCCGCGUGCAGGAAGACGGCCUUCUGGGUUGUAAACUGCUUUUAUCUGGGGAUAAAAAGCUCAUGCGUGAGUAAUUGAAGGUACCAGAUGAAUAAGCACCGGCUAACUACGUGCCAGCAGCCGCGGUAAUACGUAGGGUGCAAGCGUUGUCCGGAUUUAUUGGGUUUAAAGGGUGCGUAGGCGGCCUGUUAAGUCAGUGGUGAAAUCCAACAGCUCAACUGUUGAUGUGCCAAUGAUACUGAUGGGCUUGAGUACAGACGAGGUAGGCGGAAUUGACAGUGUAGCGGUGAAAUGCAUAGAUAUUGUCAAGAACACCGAUAGCGAAGGCAGCUUGCUAGCCUGUAACUGACGCUGAUGCACGAAAGUGUGGGGAUCAAACAGGAUUAGAUACCCCAGUAGUCC